AUACGUAGGUGACAAGCGUUAUCCGGAUUUACUGGGCGUAAAGGGCGUGUAGGCGGUCUUGCAAGUCAGAAGUGAAAUUCCUGAGCUCAACUCGGGCGCUGCUUCUGAAACUGCAGGACUUGAGUGCUGGAGGGGAUAGCGGAAUUCCUAGUGGAGCGGUAAAAUGCGCAGAUAUUAGGAAGAACACCGGUGGCGAAGGCAGUUAUCUGAACAGUAACUGACGCUGAGGCGCGAAGGCGGGGGGAGCAAACAGGAUUAGAUACCCGGGUAGUCCACGCCGUAAACGAUGAAUACUAGGUGUGGGGGGACUGACCCCUUCCGUGCCGCAGUUAACACAAUAAGUAUUCCACCUGGGGAGUACGGCCGCAAGGCUGAAACUCAAAUGAAGUGACGGGG
This 396-nucleotide ribosomal RNA is filed under the name uncultured bacterium. RNAcentral describes it as "partial 16S ribosomal RNA". It matches the Rfam family "Bacterial small subunit ribosomal RNA", at positions 523 to 918 of the family's 1533-position model. The record is from RNAcentral.